RNAcentral lists this ribosomal RNA (460 nucleotides) under uncultured bacterium. Its description in RNAcentral is "partial 16S ribosomal RNA". It matches the Rfam family "Bacterial small subunit ribosomal RNA", at positions 338 to 795 of the family's 1533-position model. The record is from RNAcentral.
CCUACGGGUGGCAGCAGUGAGGAAUAUUGGUCAAUGGACGAGAGUCUGAACCAGCCAAGUAGCGUGAAGGAUGACUGCCCUAUGGGUUGUAAACUUCUUUUAUAUGGGACUAAAUGGUUCCACGUGUCGGAUUUUGUAUGUACCAUAUGAAGACGGCUCUGCUAACUCCGUGCCAGCAGCCGCGGUAAUACGGAGGCUCCUAGCGUUAUCCGUAUUUAUUGGGAUUAAAAGGUGCGUAGGUGGAUUGUUAAGUCAGUUUUGAAAGCUUGCGGCUCAACCGUAAAAUUGCAGUUGAAACUGGUAGUCUUGAGUGUGGUAGAGGUAGGCGGAAUUCGUGGUGUAGGGGUGAAAUGCUUAGAGAUCACGAAGAAUUCUGAUUGCGAAGGCAGUUCACUGGACUGCAACUGACACUGAGGCUCGAAAGUGUGGGUAUCAAACAGGAUUAGAUACCCUAGUAGUC